RNAcentral lists this long non-coding RNA (242 nucleotides) under Prunus persica (peach). RNAcentral describes it as "long non-coding RNA (PPER_LNC000448)". The record is from RNAcentral. Lineage: Eukaryota; Viridiplantae; Streptophyta; Magnoliopsida; Rosales; Rosaceae.
AAUAAUAAAAUAUUCUUAUCACAACAACAAACCAUGUCGGUGUUAAUAAAUUGUAGACGUUGUAAAUUUUAAUAGACGACUAAGUUGUUAAAAUGACGUCGUUUAAAUGAGAAACCAUGACGGAUAUUUAACUAUCCGACGUAAAAUAUAUAUUCCACGACUUAACCGCUGUCGUUACAAAGUACUACCCUGAACCCUUAAGAAAUUGAAGACGUUGUAAACCAUAAACGACUCAAUUGUUC